AAGGGAGACCUAAUUCCGGUAGGAGACGAAAAAAAAGUAGUCCCUACCAAGAAUCAAUCCCAAAAGGUCGAAGCGAGGCAAGAUUGGCUUUCAAACUAGGUUCUGGGUUCAAACAAGACCUGAAUCAGGAACAAGGGCUAUUAGCUCAGGUGGUUAGAGCGCACCCCUGAUAAGGGUGAGGUCCCUGGUUCGAGUCCAGGAUGGCCCACCUGCACAGGUGGCAAAAACAAAGAAGCGAGGAAUCAGCACCAUAUCUUACUCAUAUAGUAAGAGAGAAUGCUGGCUCUGAGUAAAGAGUCCAGAGGAACCUUGAAAACUGCAUAGAGCUAGGUGAAAAAGCCAAAAAAGAAGACCGCAA
RNAcentral lists this transfer RNA (358 nucleotides) under uncultured Microcystis sp. RNAcentral describes it as "partial 16S-23S ribosomal RNA intergenic spacer". The stretch from base 135 to 208 matches the Rfam family "tRNA". The record is from RNAcentral. Lineage: Bacteria; Bacillati; Cyanobacteriota; Cyanophyceae; Chroococcales; Microcystaceae.